This 2839-nucleotide long non-coding RNA is filed under the name Arabidopsis thaliana (thale cress). RNAcentral describes it as "[] (AT1G17820)". Lineage: Eukaryota; Viridiplantae; Streptophyta; Magnoliopsida; Brassicales; Brassicaceae. The record is from RNAcentral.
AAAAAUGUUAAUCUUAGGACAAAAAAUAUUUGGUUGGAAGUUGGAAUUGAGGUUCCAGAGAUGAAUGAUGGCUAAUCCCAGAGUUUCUCUUCCUCUCUUAUUUUUGACUUGUCCUUGUUCUUCUACACUGACAUGAACAACUUCAACGCCUCGAAUCUUUCUCCUCCUUUUGCUUCCUUCUCUCACCACAUUUCCUCGCCACCAGAGGACGGUUUCAGAGCUUCCGGGAGAUGUUUUCGUUUGUGGGUUUCGUGGUGUUCCUCUCUGGAUUUUUCCUGGGAAUUCUCGCCGUCUUAUCCGCUGAAGCUGCGGGAUUUAUGUAUCUCCUGAAGCGAUUGAAUCGCAAGAGAGAUCGUAUUGAGUCAAAACCCGUCUCUGAUCCAUCUAUCAAGGAUUUUAAUCCUCGCGAAUCCAUCGAUUUCUGUAUCAACAAACAGGGAGUGGUAUGGAUUUUGGAAUUGGAUGAAGGUCUGAAGAACUGGAUGAAGGAAAAGUUACCAAAAGAGCAGAAGAGGAAGAGAGGCUUAUUGGAGAUUCAUCCACUUCGAAAGUUCGCUCGAAUCAAAGAUCACAAGCUUAUCUUGUCAGAUGCUGAUAGCACUCAGAGUGAGACUACCGUUUCUUUAAUAGGUUGCAGUAUUGAGGCUGUUUCAGGCUCUGAUCUCCCUACAAGAAAAUGGGCCAAAAGGUUUCCAAUAAAAGUUGAAAGCAAGAUUUCUCCAGCCUUAUACAAGGGAAACCAGGUGUUUUACAUCUAUCUGGAGACUUCUUGGGAAAAGGAAUCAUGGUGUAAAGCCCUUCGUCUUGCUUCUUGUGAAAAUCAGGAAAGGUUUAUUUGGUACUCCACCAAAUUGAAAGAAGAUUUCCGUAAUUAUGUGACUUCUCUUAAUGUUGCAUAUCCUUCAUUUAUGAAACCAUCACUUGGCUUUAGUUUUGAGACACUUGACAAAGGGAACAGAACGGAUGGUUCAUCCUCAAAGGUUCGCUUGUUCUUGAAGAAAUUUUCUAGAAAGCGAUCAAAUCGUGAAGACAGGAAAACCUAUUCACAUCAUGGAAGUAGCUCAGGGAAGUGCUUUCCAGGAAAGAAUAAUAUGACAGAUGAUACUGAUGUGCCUAUUUUUUCACGUUCUGUGAGCCAUAGCAGUCAUAUUUCUGGGGUCAGUCAUCUUUCUGGGGUUUCAGAUGGAGACUCUGAAGAAAAGGUUGACAUGGAUGAAGGAACAUUAGCGUUGAACUUGCUCAUUUCUAGGCUAUUUUUCGAUCUCAAACGGAAAACAGGAGUGAAGAAUUCAGUGCAAGCACGAAUUCAGCGGUUGUUAUCUAACAUGAGGACUCCGAGCUACAUAGGCGAACUAAUCUGCUCCGAUGUUGACACUGGAAAUCUCCCACCUCAUAUACAUGCUACACGGGUUCUUCCAAUGGAGAUGAGUGGUGUGUGGGCAUUCGAACUAGAUAUUGAAUACUCUGGUGACGUGGUGAUUGACGUUGAAACACGGGUUGACAUCCGUGAGGUGGAUCUGCAACAAGGCAUAACCGAUACAAGGUUGCAGCCAAGGUCUUCAGGGGUAGUCCCGUCAAAUUUUGCUGAAGGUGUUGAAGAUUUUGAAAAGCAAUUAGUCUUCCCUGUGGAAACUGUUAAUGCAGGAGAAGUGAAAAAUGGUGGAGCCAAUAAAGCAGAUGAAUCCAAGAGCUCAAGAGGUACGAAGGCAGCUCCAAAUGGUGUAUCCAGGUGGAAGUCUAUUCUUAAAACAAUUGCUGAACAAGUUUCUCAGGUGCCUAUCUCUUUGUCAAUACGGGUGUCUUCUCUUCGAGGGACACUGCGGGUACACAUGAAGCCGCCUCCUUCUGAUCAAUUAUGGUUUGGAUUCACGAGCAUGCCGGAUAUCGAAUUCGAUCUCGCAUCUUCUGUUGGGGAACACAAAAUCACCAACAGCCAUGUUGCAAUGUUCUUGAUCAACCGGUUUAAGACGGCAAUACGAGAAGCGGUGGUUCUUCCCAACUGUGAAAGCCUAACGAUUCCUUGGAUGAUUGCUGAAAAAGAUGAUUGGGUUCAACGCAAAGCCGCUCCAUUCAUGUGGCUGAAUCAAGAAAACGAUCACAAUACCUCCCAUGCAACAGAAGCGAGAUCUAAAUCUGACAAGCCACCGACUUCGUUCUCAUGUCUUCAAGCUGAGCAAAUGCAGAGAACUGCAAACGCCACCCAGAAGAUUAUUUCUGAAAUAGGGACAUUGGCUUCUUCCUCCUGUGCUCAGUCUGAGCAAGUGCAGAAAGCGGCCACUGCUUUCCAGAAACAGAAUACUGAAGCAGAAGCUAUUAUGUCUACGCCAUUGUCAAACUCCACAACUGUAACAAUAGAGAAUGAUAAAUCCUUGGAAGAACUGAAAACUCCACUACUGGUACCCAGCAGCAGUAACAAGCAGGAGACGAACUCAAGAGGGAGUAGCAGAGAGGUUUCUGCUGUUCAGUCACCAUCUAGGUCUGUAGCUUCAAGCGAAGAAGAUGAUUCAAGGGGGAAAAAACAGGGAAGAAGAGCAAGAAUGUUGGAUCUUGGGAAGAAAAUGGGGGAGAAAUUGGAGGAGAAGAGGCGUCACAUGGAGGAGAAGAGUAGACAGAUUGUUGAAAAGAUGAGAGGACCUUCUUAACAUGAGAAGGAAGAAGCUUUUGCAGGUUUCAGAUGCAAAAACUGAUUUAUAGAAACAGAGGAAGUUAGGCAUUGUUACAUAUGUACAGAGAUGUGAGAGAAAGCCAUAGAUGUCCCCAUAUUUAUCCGAUCAUUGAAAAUCUUUAUUAUUCUGUAAGAUAUACAAUACAAGAAAACAGAUUUUGGUGUGGACUCAAU